RNAcentral lists this ribosomal RNA (409 nucleotides) under bacterium. RNAcentral's name for it is "partial 16S ribosomal RNA". It matches the Rfam family "Bacterial small subunit ribosomal RNA", at positions 355 to 776 of the family's 1533-position model. The record is from RNAcentral.
UGGGGAAUAUUGCACAAUGGGCGAAAGCCUGAUGCAGCGACGCCGCGUGAGGGAUGACGGCCUUCGGGUUGUAAACCUCUUUCAGCAGGGACGAAGCGCAAGUGACGGUACCUGCAGAAGAAGCACCGGCUAACUACGUGCCAGCAGCCGCGGUAAUACGUAGGGUGCAAGCGUUGUCCGGAAUUACUGGGCGUAAAGAGUUCGUAGGCGGUUUGUCGCGUCGUUUGUGAAAACCAGCAGCUCAACUGCUGGCUUGCAGGCGAUACGGGCAGACUUGAGUACUGCAAGGGAGACUGGAAUUCCUGGUGUAACGGUGAAAUGCGCAGAUAUCAGGAGGGACACCGGUGGCGAAGGCGGGUCUCUGGGCAGUAACUGACGCUGAGGAACGAAAGCGUGGGUAGCGAACAGG